Non-coding RNA from Paramuricea clavata, 348 nucleotides. The record is from the annotation of a GenBank genome assembly. NCBI's taxonomy places the organism in Eukaryota, Metazoa, Cnidaria, Anthozoa, Malacalcyonacea, Plexauridae.
UUCCAUUUAAUAUCCGUACCCCCCUGUCGAGGAUUCCUGGAAUUCUUCAGGGGUAAAGGGUUUUGAGCUUGGAAUUCUUCAGGGGUAAAGGGUUUUGAGCUUGGAAUUCUUCAGGGGCAAAGUGUUUUGAGGUUGGAAUUCUUCAGGGGUAAAGGGUUUUGAGCUUGGAAUUAUUCAGGGGUAAAGGAUUUUGAGCUUGGAAUUCUUCAGGGGUAAGGAGGUUUGAUUUGAAAUUUUUCAGAGCUUGGAAUUCUUCAGGGGUAGAGGGUUUUCAGCUUGGAAUUCUUCAGGGGUAAAAGGUUUUCAGCUUGGAAUUUUUCAGGGGUAAAGGGUUUUGAGCUUGGAAUU